UUGAGAUGCUUCAUAUACUGGACACACCCACAAGUAUAAAUUACAAGGCAGACACUGAGAAUUUGGCACACAAGAAGAGAAAGAAAGCAGAAUGUGACAAAUACAAUUCAGUAUGCAACGUACUGGCAACGAUACAAGUUAAACCGCGCUUUGUUUAAUUUUUCUUUGCUAUGUUGUAGUUAUUAAUUCAAAUUCCAGAUGAUGUCUUCCGUGGGAAAGGCGAAAUAUGGAAUGAAGUAUUAAAUAUAUACAUAAUAAAAAAUACCUCUAGCUCGACUUUUUUAAUUAGAAAAACAACAAAAAUUAAAAAAAAUCUUCUAAUCGCCCAAUGAAUUCUGUAUCCAAAUUUUGAAAAAUAUAGCUCAAUCUGUAAAUAAAGUA
Long non-coding RNA from Stomoxys calcitrans (stable fly), 381 nucleotides. RefSeq lists it as uncharacterized. The transcript has 2 exons. The record is from RefSeq and is a predicted model, not a curated record. Lineage: Eukaryota; Metazoa; Arthropoda; Insecta; Diptera; Muscidae.